This 519-nucleotide ribosomal RNA is filed under the name Triticum aestivum (bread wheat). RNAcentral's name for it is "partial small subunit ribosomal RNA". The record is from RNAcentral. Lineage: Eukaryota; Viridiplantae; Streptophyta; Magnoliopsida; Poales; Poaceae.
AUGGUGAGCAUCGACGUCGAGCGAAGCAGCCCGGCGCCGCCGUCCUGCAGGCAGGCGGGGCUUGAGACCGUAAAAAAGUGGCAGCGGAUUCCAUGCAGCAUGAGGAGGGCUUGGCCGGCCGUCUGCGUUGUGGCCGCGACCCUGCUCGCAGUCGUCGUGCUCUCCGCCGCCCGGGAUGGCUAUGGCUUGCCGAUGGUACCCAGCAGCUGGCUCUCAGUAGAAGAUGUACCUCCGUCCAACCUCACCACCGACCAGCUCCUGGACGGUCUGCUCACCGCAGAAUUUGGCUCGCGCUCAUGCCGGAGCCGGUACGAGUUGGCCAGCUACCAUGACAAGAAGAAGAAGAAGAAGCACGCAUCACAUAAACCAUCCCCCUACUUGCUCGCCAAGCUCCGAAAUCACGAAGCGCUCCAAAAGCAAUGCGGCCCCGGCACGGCCCCGUACAGGGCGGCGAUCCGGCAGCUCGAGUCUGGAAAUGGCAUCGUCACAGCGAAAACUGCCGCUACCUGGUCCCCAUAA